GGAUAGGUGGCAGAGAAGCUAUGCGUGAGACUGCAGAUCUCAUCUACUUGGGUCCAAAUCCCAACCUAUCCU
Molecule: transfer RNA, 72 nt
Filed under: Ferroplasma acidiphilum
Lineage: Archaea; Methanobacteriati; Thermoplasmatota; Thermoplasmata; Thermoplasmatales; Ferroplasmaceae
Also listed under: 1 other name
Description: tRNA-Cys
Rfam family: tRNA
About the family: Transfer RNA (tRNA) molecules are approximately 80 nucleotides in length. Their secondary structure includes four short double-helical elements and three loops (D, anti-codon, and T loops).
Source: RNAcentral